GAGUUGGAAGCUGCGGGGGGGGGAAGGGCUUGGGGCUUAUUUGCUUCGGAAGUCAAGUUAGUCUCCUUCCAGGUAUGAUCCUUCGUGCGGGGCUGUGUCCUGGCCUCUCGGAUGAAAUGGUGCAGGUAUUAAAAGCCAAUGGCAUCAAAACAGUGGUUGAUCUUGUCUCAUCGGAUCUGGAGGAAAUUGCCCAGAAGUAUUCUUUAUCAUACAAGACCUUAGUUGCAGUACGACGUGUGUUGCUGGCACAGUUUUCCUCCUUCCCAGUCAAUGGGGCAGAUCUCUAUGAAGAGUUGAAGCACACCACAGCCAUCUUGUCUACUGGAAUUGAAAGCUUGGACAAACUUCUUGACUCGGGUAUAUACACAGGGGAACUGACAGAACUUGUUGGAGCACCCAGUGCUGGAAAAACUCAGGUGUGCCUCAUUGUAGCUGCAAAUGUAUCCCAUAGUCUCAAGCAGACGGUCCUGUACAUUGACUCAACUGGGGGCUUCACCAGUGCCCGUCUCCUGGAGCUACUGAAUUGCUUAACUGAGGAUGAGGAGGAGCAGGCUGAGGCAUUGCGGAGGAUCCAGGUUUUUCGUACUUUUGAUGCCUACAAAAUGCUUGAUGUGCUGCAGGAAGUCCGCAGUUAUAUGGCCCAGCAGAUACUCAGCACCUCUGGACCAGUAAAGCUACUUAUUGUGGAUUCCAUUUCUGCUGUAAUUUGCCCUUUCUUGGGACUUCGGCAGCCCGAUGGCAUGGCCCUUAUGAUGCAUUUGGCUAGGGAGAUGAAAACCCUUGCCAAAGAAUUUGGGAUUGCCAUAUUGUUGACAAAUCAUGUGACCAGAGAUGCUGGCGGUGGUUUUAAACCAGCACUGGGUCGCUCGUGGAGUUUCAUACCUAACACUCGGCUGCUGCUGGAGAAGAGAAAAGACAAUUGUGAGAAAGCAGGUCGAGUUGCAUCUUUGAUGAAAUCUUCUCGACAGGUGAAAACAUGAAACAGAUGUCUAUACUGUGGCCUCCAUAUAUCAGACUUCUGUAACUUAGUGAUGUUCAAUUGUGUUGGAAAUACCUCUCUUAGAAUUCCUUGCCAAUAUAGCCAAAGGUAGUUAUUUAUCAACAAUGUAACCUAAUAGUUAGGAAGUAGGAUGGAAAACUUUAUUGCAAGGAAUAAAUAUGAGACCCGGGCUCGUUCAUAAUAGCUAUCUUUCAUAUUAAACACAUUCAAGUCCCUUCCCCCAUUCCCAGGAAAAAUAGCUUUCCCCAAAUUUGGCACCUCUGAAAGAGCUGGACUAUAGUAAUAGUCCAGCUCAUCCAAAUAUAAUGGACUGCAUGAUUCUUAGCCAUCAUGUUUACUAACAACUCCCCUCAGUCUCAACCUGCAUGGCCAAGUCACAUGCUUGCUGAGCAUAAUGAAUAUUGUAGUCCAUAGUUCUGGAAGGCACCAAAAUUAAAGAAGGGUUAGUAGAGUUUUAGAGGUGCAGAAGGACUGUGGAGACUUAUUAUGUGGGCACAUUCUAAUGCAGUAGUAGACAUGGCAGCACUCAGUGCUUUUGUAUGAAUGUGACAACAUUUGUCAGUUGCUGUUGCUGGCUGGAGCUGAUGGGAGACACUCUAGAAAUAGAAUACUAAGGAAGGCUAAUUAUUAGUACUAUUAAGAAAUGGGACUAUGUCAAGAACUGUAUUAAGAAAGAAGCACAGAUGAAAAGAUAGGAACAAUUGCAAUUUGUCAGGGACUUUGACUUUGCUCUAAGAGCUACAGCUAAUUUGUGGUUUUGGAUUCUGAGCAGAAAACAUACCCUGCCUGUCCUUCAUAUUGAUAGGCCUGUAAUUUUAAUUUAAUUUUCAAGCAUAACUCAGGAAGGGACAGGAAGCAUGGAAAGGUUAAUUGUCUUAAAGUAAUGGGCAUAUUUGGAGUUUUAAUACAUAUGGGCAUUUUCACAAAAUAGCUCCUGUUUUAGUAAAAAAAAAAAACACUACAUUUUCUAGUUUCUUUGUUUACAGUACUUGGGCGGGAGGGGACUUUUCUAAACAAAACUCUAGAGCAGAGGUAGGCAACCUUGGCUUUUUUUAUGACUCGUGGACUUCAACUCCCAGAAUUCCUGAGCUAUAUACGGUAUGGUCUUUAUUUAAAGAGGCAAUCUUGUAAAUAGAUAACACCUGAGUUCAAAAUAUUGUUUUUCAGGUUGUAGGAGUCUCAUUUAAAGUUUAACUGAAUGAUUAGUAAAGCGGGAUGAAGCAUAGAAUUGGAGCUAUUCCAUGGGAAGUAUAUGUGAGAAUCUUGGUGCCUAGUGAACAAAUUCAGAAGGCAUGUCUCUGAGUGAAAAACUUAGAGAUAAAGUUGGCCUUCCUUUAAGUAAGUUUAGAGGGAUAGACAGAAUGUUUCCAUCCCAGGAUGGGCAGUUUGAGUGACCCAAAUGUGGCUGCAGGUAUUGCUCAUUUGGAUUUGGAGUGUUCCAAGAUAAGAUUGUCUUUUAGAACACAUGUGAUGGCUUGUUUUGGGAAGAGAAUUUUUUUGUCAUAAAACAUGUUAUCUGUCUCUAUCAGAUACUGAAGUACAAAUCCUAAGAAGGAUUAGCCUGUAUGACUGUUUUUUCCUCUAAAUUUAGGCCAUACAUCUGCAGCCCUGGACAGUAUUCUGGUAACACACUGAUCUGAAAACUUCCAAAAUGUACUUCUCUCAAACCACUGUUGAAUACUUAGCUCAUUCUUUAUCAGAGAAAAGCAGUAUAGAAAUUAAUUAAUGGAUAUUCUUGUAACUUCUACUACUAGAGAUUUGUAGUUACAGGUAGUCCUUGAUUUACAGCCACAAUUGUGGGGGGACUGGAACUUCCAUCGUUAAGUGAUGUGGCUGUUCAGUGAGUUGUGUCUGAUUUUGUUUUUUUUUAUUUUUUUGCUUUUAUCACUUAGCAAAUUGCUGCUACAGUUGUCAAGUGAAUCAUACAUUCAUUAAUUGAAUCCAGCUUCCCCCAUUGACUUUGAUUGAUAGAAGAUCCCUGGGAAAGUUGCGAUCAUGUGAUCCCAGGAUGCUGCAACCAUCAUAAAUACAUCCUAGAUACAAAAAGCACCUGAAUUUCAAUCUCAUGACUGCAAGGACACUGUAAUGGUCAUAAGUGUGAGCCUUUUGGAGUUCAGGCGGAAUUAGACCUGAGGAACUGGGAAAUGAAAAAAGGAAGUCCAGUCACAUCAGACAAGGGACUAAAUGAUGGCAUGGGCAUGACUUCCUGAUCCACAAUUGGCUUUCC
RNA transcript from Crotalus tigris (Tiger rattlesnake), 3227 nucleotides. It is a transcript of the gene named RAD51 paralog D, with no coding region annotated. Lineage: Eukaryota; Metazoa; Chordata; Lepidosauria; Squamata; Viperidae. The transcript has 11 exons. The record is from RefSeq and is a predicted model, not a curated record.